GCUUUAUGUUAUGCAUAAUUUAUUCUUUAAUAAUGAGUUUUUUUUCGAGUUGGAUGGAUGUAGUCUGGACGGAUCAUGUAGCUCCAGCACCUUUUCUGGCAACAAAGGCCCCCGCCAAAGCGAACCAAAAAAGUAGACACUUGGAUGGCAGAGAUCGACAGAGAGCGAUUCGAAGAGCAGAAGGACCUUCACAGUAGAGUUGUGUUGCUCAUGAGAUAUUUUGCGAUCUGGCAGCUGUUGCUCAUAUUUGCGUUUACUUCACACUUUUUGUAUUACCGGCAAAGCUGUUUACUCUUUCAAAAAUUCAGUAUGUCGCUAAUUCGAAUGUAUAGUGAAAUUUGGAAUGAUCUGUGCAUGAAUAGUGAACAACUGAGUGAGCAAGUCAGCAACUGAGCAAGUGAGCAACUGAGCAAUCUAAGAGCGCAAGUGAUCAAUUUGAGUGAGUUGACUCACAUACUAAAAAAGAACAAGUGAACAUGUUCACCAAAACGAGCAAUGUUUACCCAACACUACUUCGCAGGAAGAAGGAAGAACAUGAUAUGAGCCAGGAAAAGAUAGCCUCAUCCACACGCAAAAAAAAUUCCAGAAUGAUUUAUUAGAAGUGCUGAGAAAUAUAAAUAAAUAAGUUUAUAAUUUGCA
Molecule: long non-coding RNA, 639 nt
Organism: Drosophila pseudoobscura
Lineage: Eukaryota; Metazoa; Arthropoda; Insecta; Diptera; Drosophilidae
Exons: 2
Source: RefSeq, a predicted model, not a curated record